GGCCUGGUGGCUCAGUGGGUAAAGAAUCUGCCUGCAAUGCAGGAGACUGGGGUUCGAUUCCUGGGUCA
RNAcentral lists this transfer RNA (68 nucleotides) under Bos taurus (domestic cattle). It matches the Rfam family "tRNA". Rfam says of the family: Transfer RNA (tRNA) molecules are approximately 80 nucleotides in length. Their secondary structure includes four short double-helical elements and three loops (D, anti-codon, and T loops). Further hydrogen bonds mediate the characteristic L-shaped molecular structure. tRNAs have two regions of fundamental functional importance: the anti-codon, which is responsible for specific mRNA codon recognition, and the 3' end, to which the tRNAs corresponding amino acid is attached (by aminoacyl-tRNA synthetases). tRNAs cope with the degeneracy of the genetic code in two manners: having more than one tRNA (with a specific anti-codon) for a particular amino acid; and 'wobble' base-pairing, i.e. permitting non-standard base-pairing at the 3rd anti-codon position. The record is from Rfam by way of RNAcentral. RNAcentral also lists the same sequence under 1 other name. Lineage: Eukaryota; Metazoa; Chordata; Mammalia; Artiodactyla; Bovidae.